Molecule: long non-coding RNA, 460 nt
Filed under: Elaeis guineensis (African oil palm)
Lineage: Eukaryota; Viridiplantae; Streptophyta; Magnoliopsida; Arecales; Arecaceae
Description: long non-coding RNA (EGUI_LNC082706)
Source: RNAcentral
UUUUUAAGCAAAAUGUGAUGGAAGUUACGUAUUGAUAAAUAUUAAACUGUUUCAUAGGUUAUCUUUUCUCUGUCAUAUGUUCCAAGUUGGCGUGUUGUCUUACAUGCAUGUCAGCUUACUAAGUCCCUUGCAGGCGUGCACGUUUACUAGUUCAGACUAUGGAGAAGAAGGCGUUCUCUACUUGCAGGGCCUGCGAAGAUAGAAAACAAGGCCUCACCAAUGGAAGAGGUCGUUUAGUUAUGUAAUAAAUAGUUUAGAAGGAGGAAAAGGUCGUGGUGGCCUCACAUGGCUAUAGCUUGAGAGAGAAUACGGAGGUUUGGUUGGCCUGUUGUUGAGCAUUGACCUAUUCCUUUCAUAUUAUACCUACUGCAUUUUUGCUCUUUAAAAGAAAAGAAAUGCACUUAUUGGCUACUACUUUGGGAGAAUAGAUAUUAAUCUUCAAGAUGGUAAAAGUUUGACA